This 1643-nucleotide ribosomal RNA is filed under the name Plasmodium inui. RNAcentral's name for it is "SSU rRNA". It matches the Rfam family "Eukaryotic small subunit ribosomal RNA", at positions 37 to 1460 of the family's 1831-position model. Lineage: Eukaryota; Apicomplexa; Aconoidasida; Haemosporida; Plasmodiidae. The record is from RNAcentral.
UCAAAGAUUAAGCCAUGCAAGUGAAAGUAUAUGCAUAUUUUAUAUGUAGAAACUGCGAACGGCUCAUUAAAACAGUUAUAAUCUACUUGACAUUUUUUCUAUAAGGAUAACUACGGAAAAGCUGUAGCUAAUACUUGCUUUAGCACUCUUGAUUAAGUUCUUGAGUGUGUACUUGUUAAGCCUUUUAAGAAAAAAGUUAUUAACUUAAGGAAUUAUAACAAAGAAGCAACACGUAAAUGGAUUUUCCAUUUUUUAGUGUGUAUCAAUCGAGUUUCUGACCUAUCAGCUUUUGAUGUUAGGGUAUUGGCCUAACAUGGCUAUGACGGGUAACGGGGAAUUAGAGUUCGAUUCCGGAGAGGGAGCCUGAGAAAUAGCUACCACAUCUAAGGAAGGCAGCAGGCGCGUAAAUUACCCAAUUCUAAAGAAGAGAGGUAGUGACAAGAAAUAACAAUACAAGGCCAAUCUGGCUUUGUAAUUGGAAUGAUGGGAAUUUAAAACCUUCCCAAAACUCAAUUGGAGGGCAAGUCUGGUGCCAGCAGCCGCGGUAAUUCCAGCUCCAAUAGCGUAUAUUAAAAUUGUUGCAGUUAAAACGCUCGUAGUUGAAUUUCAAAGAAUCGAUAUUUUAAGUAGCACUUUGUAGAUUAAUCCACAUAACUGAUACUACGUAUCGACUUUGUGAGCAUUUUUCUACUUAUGUGUUCUUUUAAUUAAAAUGAUUCUUUUUAAGAUCUUUCUUUUUUGCUUCGGCAUUUUAGGAGAUCUUGUUACUUUGAGUAAAUUAGAGUGUUCAAAGCAAACAGAUUAUAGCAUCUUUAUGCGUUUGAAUACUAUAGCAUGGAAUAACAAAAUUGAACAAGUCAGAAUUUUGUUCUUUUUUCUUAUUUUGGCUUAGUUACGAUUAAUAGGAGUAGCUUGGGGGCAUUUGUAUUCAGAUGUCAGAGGUGAAAUUCUUAGAUUUUCUGGAGACAAACAACUGCGAAAGCAUUUGCCUAAAAUACUUCCAUUAAUCAAGAACGAAAGUUAAGGGAGUGAAGUCGAUCAGAUACCGUCGUAAUCUUAACCAUAAACUAUGCCGACUAGGCUUUGGAUGAAAGAUUUUAAAAUAAGAGUUUUUUCUCUGAGGAGUUAAAACUCUUAGAUUGCUUCCUUCAGUGCCUUAUGAGAAAUCAAAGUCUUUGGGUUCUGGGGCGAGUAUUCGCGCAAGCGAGAAAGUUAAAAGAAUUGACGGAAGGGCACCACCAGGCGUGGAGCUUGCGGCUUAAUUUGACUCAACACGGGAAAACUCACUAGUUUAAGACAAGAGUAGGAUUGACAGAUUAAUAGCUCUUUCUUGAUUUCUUGGAUGGUGAUGCAUGGCCGUUUUUAGUUCGUGAAUAUGAUUUGUCUGGUUAAUUCCGAUAACGAACGAGAUCUUAACCUGCUAAUUAGCGGCAAAUACGAUAUAUUCUUAUGUGGAAUUGAAUAUAGUUGAUUUGCUUAUUUUGAAGAAAAUAUUGGGAUACGUAAAUGUAUCCCUUUCCCUUUUCUACUUAAUUUGCUUAUCAUACUAUUUCUUUUUUGCGUAAGAAUGUAUCUGCUUGAUUGUAAAGCUUCUUAGAGGAACGAUGUGUGUCUAACACAAGGGAGUUUAAGGCAACAACAGG